GCUAGCAGCCAUAUCACCCUGCAACUCACAUCUGGCAACCUGCUGCUGCUAAGCAGGUGUGAGCCUGGUCAGUACCUGGAUGGGAGACCUUGUGGGGAAAAACUAAGGUUGUUGCUGGAA
RNAcentral lists this ribosomal RNA (120 nucleotides) under Lepisosteus oculatus (spotted gar). Lineage: Eukaryota; Metazoa; Chordata; Actinopteri; Semionotiformes; Lepisosteidae. The record is from RNAcentral.